GGAGAGAAAAGCAGCCCCAAUUACAAUUUUUAUGAGUAAGCAGGUAUUAAAGAGAACAAGUACUAUGAUUUAUAUCCAGGCUCCAAAUGAGGAGUUCAGGAUCGAACUCAGAAUGCAAAAAGCAUCACUAUAGCAGUCA
Long non-coding RNA from Lontra canadensis (Northern American river otter), 139 nucleotides. RefSeq lists it as uncharacterized. NCBI's taxonomy places the organism in Eukaryota, Metazoa, Chordata, Mammalia, Carnivora, Mustelidae. The record is from RefSeq and is a predicted model, not a curated record. The transcript has 3 exons.